Molecule: ribosomal RNA, 437 nt
Filed under: uncultured Saccharofermentans sp.
Lineage: Bacteria; Bacillati; Bacillota; Clostridia; Eubacteriales; Oscillospiraceae
Description: bacterial SSU rRNA
Rfam family: Bacterial small subunit ribosomal RNA
Source: RNAcentral
ACGGGAGGCAGCAGUGGGGAAUAUUGGGCAAUGGGCGAAAGCCUGACCCAGCAACGCCGCGUGAAGGAAGAAGGCCUUCGGGUUGUAAACUUCUUUUACCAGGGACGAAGGACGUGACGGUACCUGGAGAAAAAGCAACGGCUAACUACGUGCCAGCAGCCGCGGUAAUACGUAGGUUGCAAGCGUUGUCAGGAUUUACUGGGCGUAAAGGGCGUGUAGGCGGUCUUGCAAGUCAGAAGUGAAAUUCCUGAGCUCAACUCGGGCGCUGCUUCUGAAACUGCAGGACUUGAGUGCUGGAGGGGAUAGCGGAAUUCCUAGUGGAGCGGUAAAAUGCGCAGAUAUUAGGAAGAACACCGGUGGCGAAGGCGGCUAUCUGGACAGUAACUGACGCUGAGGCGCGAAAGCGUGGGGAGCAAACAGGAUUAGAUACCCUGGUA